CAUGUGCACUUUAGAAAGAGCUGCAGUUCUUUGUUAUCAGAUACCUCUUGUUGCAUCAUGAUAAGGCACAUCGUCCUCUAGUUUAUAAAGUUGGAUGUUGGCAACUUGUGUUACAAGCUUACAGUUUUAGGUCGAAAGUUAUGAACCAGUCUUCUUGUUGUGAGCUGUGACACUAACAUCUUACCUGAUGGUAGAUUUCAGUGAAUUCUAGUUGUGAUGGGGUCUGUGAAGGACAAUUCAUAUAUCCUAGUCCGGCUGAGUUCCAAAAUGCAGCUUGAAGUUCUCUUCAAAUGGAUCUUGAUACUUCAUCAUCCCAGUUGCAAAGUUCCUUGAGGUAUUGUCUGUGCAAAUACAGGUGCAUGUGUGGUGUGGUGGCCUUUUCAGCCCGUGCAGUGCGUUUCACCUUCCAAACGUCAAGACCCAGCCUCCAGGUCAGUACCCGGUUACCUACCUACUCGGCUACUCCUGUUGCUGUGGCUGCCGCGUUUUUUUUUGCUCUGAAGCAAGCAAUCCUGCAGUAGGGUGGCAAGGUACUUGUCUGUGGGUUGAUGGUGUCAUGGUGAGGUGGUAUGGACCGGCACACUGGUGGUGCGCUGGUGUUGCAAUUGCAAUACGGCGCGUCGUUGUUGGCAUGUCCUCGUGUGUUUGGCCAUUGCUCCCCUGAGAAAAAUGAAAACAUACAGGUCUGCAAAUUCCUGUGCUCUGAUCUGGCCUGCCGUGCAGGUAAAGAUCUUUGCGUCCAUCGACAUGGCUGACCGCUGGUGAGCUGUGUGGACGUACACGCUGAGCUGCUGACAUUUGCAGCUCAACUUCAAGCUUCUGCAAGUGUAGCCAUUCGCCAUCUCCUUUCUUGCUCAGUGAACGCAUGAUCCCAAUCCAUGUGUUGAAACAUUCUUUUGCAAAGCUGGUUCAUUGGUCAGGAUGGAAUGGUAGGCAUGCUUCAGACUACGAUAAUGAGAGCUGAAAAGGCCCUCUCACCGACCGUUGGCAGGAUCGAUCUCGAUCGUGUGGGGUUUGUUGAUACACCAAGUAUGCUUGUGGUCUAUUUGCAGGGCCCACGUGGCACUGAAGGGUCUACUUUGAACAGCAAUGCUAGUGGCGACCUGACGCCCUUAACGAGGCUCGGUAUCUGGUUGGGCUCCCUUUCGUCAUAAACCCAAGUCAAUGGCCGAUGGAGAUGGAGCAGGUGUCAUCUGAUGAGAACUUUGAGCGAGAGAAUGAGGCCGGCUGGCCUGCCACUUGAUUUCUCCAGCUGAGGUCGCCGCGGCUGGUCCUGGCCGUGGGCAAAAUGGUAAUUGGCCCGUCUCAAACAUAAGCCAAAAUUCUCUCAUACGCACGGGUACCGGGGACGGCCGGUGGCUGUACCACCACCGACAGCUUCUCCCGGUUAUCCCAAACUGGGUGAUGGGCAUGGCACUUUGGUCGCAUCGGAGUCAGAUCAGAGAUCACCUCUCUUCUCUUUAUAAAAAUGACAAAAAAAAAGAGAGGAAAAGAAAGAUGCUGGAACAAGGAAAGGAAAAGGGUUGCUUUCUCAUGUUUUGUUUUUCAAUGCCCUAGUGAGAAUAUGUUCUUCUUUUCUUUUAUUUUUUCCCCCUUUCGGCUGAAUGAUUGGAGAUCUUCUGUUCUUGAUAUGGUGCCAAUGGUGCACGCAUAUUUGCACAAGGGUAACAUGGAACAUGUAGCGAUAACAAUAGUGCAUUGGUGUUGUCCAGCUCCACCUCCCGAGCGUCUGGAGGGACAGAGAGGCCUUGCCAAUCUCCAUGUGGAGACGACACCAUGCCCAAGAGGAAAUAACGCAGAUGUUCCUUCACCAAAAAAAGGAGGAGGAACUGCAAAGAGGAUCAGGGUGUGGUUGGGGUUGAUCAAGAAUUCCAGAGU
Molecule: long non-coding RNA, 1878 nt
Organism: Panicum hallii
Lineage: Eukaryota; Viridiplantae; Streptophyta; Magnoliopsida; Poales; Poaceae
Exons: 4
Source: RefSeq, a predicted model, not a curated record